AGAGUUUGAUCAUGGCUCAGAUUGAACGCUGGCGGCAGGCUUAACACAUGCAAGUCGAACGGUAACAGGAGAAAGCUUGCUUUCUUGCUGACGAGUGGCGGACGGGUGAGUAAUGCUUGGGAAUCUGGCUUAUGGAGGGGGAUAACUACGGGAAACUGUAGCUAAUACCGCGUAAUAUCUUCGGAUUAAAGGGUGGGACUUUCGGGCCACCUGCCAUAAGAUGAGCCCAAGUGGGAUUAGGUAGUUGGUGGGGUAAAGGCCUACCAAGCCGACGAUCUCUAGCUGGUCUGAGAGGAUGACCAGCCACACUGGAACUGAGACACGGUCCAGACUCCUACGGGAGGCAGCAGUGGGGAAUAUUGCACAAUGGGGGGAACCCUGAUGCAGCCAUGCCGCGUGAAUGAAGAAGGCCUUCGGGUUGUAAAGUUCUUUCGGUGAUGAGGAAGGUGUUUGUUUUAAUAGAACAAGCAAUUGACGUUAGUCACAGAAGAAGCACCGGCUAACUCCGUGCCAGCAGCCGCGGUAAUACGGAGGGUGCGAGCGUUAAUCGGAAUGACUGGGCGUAAAGGGCACGCAGGCGGUGACUUAAGUGAGAUGUGAAAGCCCCGAGCUUAACUUGGGAAUUGCAUUUCAUACUGGGUCGCUAGAGUAUUUUAGGGAGGGGUAGAAUUCCACGUGUAGCGGUGAAAUGCGUAGAGAUGUGGAGGAAUACCGAAGGCGAAGGCAGCCCCUUGGGAAUAUACUGACGCUCAUGUGCGAAAGCGUGGGGAGCAAACAGGAUUAGAUACCCUGGUAGUCCACGCUGUAAACGCUGUCGAUUUGGGGAUUGGGCUUAGAGCUUGGUGCCCGUAACU
This 854-nucleotide ribosomal RNA is filed under the name uncultured bacterium. RNAcentral's name for it is "bacterial SSU rRNA". It matches the Rfam family "Bacterial small subunit ribosomal RNA", at positions 8 to 853 of the family's 1533-position model. The record is from RNAcentral.